UAAUUAAGCGGAGGAAAAGAAACUAACUAGGAUUCCCCCAGUAAGGGCGACUGAAGCGGGAAGUGCUCACCAUGUGAAUCUGUACAGAUCUGAUCUGUGCCGAAUUGUGGUCUGUAGAAGCGAUGUAUGUCAGUGUCUCGGGCCAAGUCCUUUGGAAAAAGGCAGCUGAGAGGGUGAGACUCCCGUUCUUGCCUGAGAGAUUUGACUAUAUUCAUGCCUUCAACGAGUCGAGUUGUUUGGGAUUGCAGCUCAAAUUGGGUGGUAAAUUCCAUCUAAAGCUAAAUAUUGGUGGGAGACCGAUAGCGAACAAGUACCGUGAGGGAAAGAUGAAAAGAACUUUGAAAAGAGAGUUAAAGAGUACCUGAAAUUGCUGAAAUGGAAGCAAAGGAAACCAGUGUUAUUUUGCAUCAUUUUUCCCCUGCUGCUUGCAACAGGGGCGCUGUGAUGUAAGGUAGGCCAGUAUGGGUUUGAAUCGGGGCAAAAGCUUUUGCUGCCCUGGUUUGGACUGAGGUUAGCUCGUGUGAUGCUGGCGAAAUGGUUUUCUUUACCC
RNAcentral lists this ribosomal RNA (550 nucleotides) under Chaetoceros decipiens. Its description in RNAcentral is "partial large subunit ribosomal RNA". It matches the Rfam family "Eukaryotic large subunit ribosomal RNA", at positions 43 to 649 of the family's 3401-position model. Lineage: Eukaryota; Bacillariophyta; Thalassiosirophyceae; Chaetocerotales; Chaetocerotaceae. The record is from RNAcentral.